CUUGGAUUCUGUACGAUCACGCACGUGUCCUUCCCUUUCUCCUAGGCCUUAAUCCAGGUGUUCUCUCUUUAUAUGUUCCAUUUUCCUUUCAUUCAUGUUUGCUCAAAGCCCAAAUCGUCUAGGCCGAAAACAACUCCAGCUAAACGCUGUCGUUUGUAUUAUUAACUCAAAACUUGUACUCCGGUGAACUCACCGGAAACAUUGAAUUAUUAUGUCCGGCGCCGAAUAGUUGGUGAGGUGAAGAGACUAUCUCCAGCAAUGGAAACGGAGGUUCAUCAACCAAAUUUCACCUACCUGGGACGAACAUUUAGCGGUCUCAAUAUUACUGAAUCCUCCUCAGCUUUCAGUGACUGCAACAGCGAUAGAUCCGGCGAGUUCCCGACGGCGUCUUCUCAAAGCCGGCGACUAUUAAUAGCAUGCGCGUCGGAGAACUCAGAUGAAUUAAUCCAGCAACUCGUCUCUGAUCUCGAGUCAAACUCAAUCGACGUGCAAAAGCAAGCGGCAAUGGAGCUUAGACUCUUAGCGAAGAACAAAUCGGAAAAUCGUCUCAAAAUCGCUCGAGCUGGAGCGAUUAAGCCUUUGAUUUCUCUUAUCUCUUCCACUGAUCUUCACCUUCAAGAGUACGGCGUUACCGCGAUUCUCAAUUUAUCUCUCUGUGAUGAAAAUAAGGAGCUCAUCGCAGCAUCAGGAGCGAUCAAACCGUUAGUUCGAGCUCUGAAAAUCGGCAAUUCAACCGCGAAGGAGAAUUCCGCUUGCGCUCUGCUCCGUUUGUCGCAAAUCGAAGAGAACAAAAUCGCAAUCGGACGGUCGGGUGCAAUACCCCCGUUAGUGAACCUUCUAGAAGCCGGCAAUUUCCGCGGGAAGAAGGACGCCUCAACUGCACUGUACUCCUUAUGCUCCGUGAAGGAGAACAAGGUCAGAGCGGUACAAGCUGGAGUAAUGAAGCCGUUAGUGGAAUCAAUGGCGGAUUUCAGUUCAAACAUGGUGGAUAAAUCGGCGUUCGUGGUGAGCGUUUUGAUAUCGUUGACAGAGGCGAGGGCGGCUGUGGUGGAGGAAGGUGGAAUUCCGGUGUUGGUGGAGAUCGUGGAGGUGGGGACACAUCGACAGAAGGAGAUUGCGGUGGCGAUAUUGUUGCAGCUGUGUGAGGAUAGCGUGACUUACCGUACUAUGGUGGCACGCGAAGGCGCUAUUCCCCCAUUGGUUGCUUUGUCCCAAUCUGGUACAAGUCGCGCCAAACAAAAGGUAAAAAAUGAAAAAUAUCUUUUUUUCACAAGGCAGAUUUAAUUAAGUAUGUAACCGCCGCCAUGAAAUGUGAAGUAUGUAAUUAAUUAAUGAGUUAGGCUAAUUAAUUAAGUAGGGUUAGCACUGAGCUUAGGUGUAAAGAUAGACUACGUAAGUAUUAUGGUGAAUUUGGUGAUGUGAAUUGGUUAUGACAACUAUUUAUUGUUAGGUGGAUGCACUAGUCGUUCUCCAAUAUGUCUGCCUCCUGUGGCCUCUAGCAGGUUAGGGAAAAAUACUAAGAGCUGAAGUUCAAUUAAAUUGGUGUCUUUGUCCUUUUCAAUAUGUAAAUAUGACAGUGUUAGUAAAUUAUUUGAACAAUUUAAAUAGGUUUCUCUUCAUCUUUUCGUACUUUAUACUUACAAUUUGUCAUUGACCCCGAAAAAAGUAAGCUGGAUCGACGAGUAUAUAAAAUAUUUGAAUUUGUCAGUGUUUGAGUAUUAUUAAGCAGCAGUAUUUGAUGAGUAUCUUGUGUUUUGGUCGUAUUAUGAAUGGACAGGCGGAGACACUGAUUGCGCUUCUACGACAGCCAAGAUCCGGUAACGCCGCUGCAGCAGCAGCCAGAGCUUCUGAUGUGUCGUUUUGAUUCUCACCACAUGUUAUGUCCCUCUGUUGUUUGUUUCCUCAUUUUGUAUCAUAGCAACCCAACACUACUCAAGAGAACCAC
This 1945-nucleotide long non-coding RNA is filed under the name Nicotiana tabacum (common tobacco). RNAcentral's name for it is "long non-coding RNA (NTAB_LNC014567)". Lineage: Eukaryota; Viridiplantae; Streptophyta; Magnoliopsida; Solanales; Solanaceae. The record is from RNAcentral.